This 117-nucleotide non-coding RNA is filed under the name Homo sapiens (human). The record is from Rfam by way of RNAcentral. Lineage: Eukaryota; Metazoa; Chordata; Mammalia; Primates; Hominidae.
GCUGGGCACAGUGGCUUAUGCCUGUAAUUCUAGCACUUUGGGAGGCUGAGGCUGGUGGAUCACCUGAGGUCAGGAGUUCUAGACCAGCCUGACCAACAUGGUGAAACCCUGUCUCUA